Long non-coding RNA from Wasmannia auropunctata (little fire ant), 1043 nucleotides. RefSeq lists it as uncharacterized. NCBI's taxonomy places the organism in Eukaryota, Metazoa, Arthropoda, Insecta, Hymenoptera, Formicidae. The record is from RefSeq and is a predicted model, not a curated record. The transcript has 3 exons.
UGUUUGCAUUUAACUCGGGGGGAGAAAUAUAGGAUGGCCGGACGUGCGCACUGUCACAACUCGCCGAAACACAAAACGCGUCGUUAGCACGUAUCCGUUCGUUAACACGACGGACGGAUUUACAGAAAUGAUUUAUUAACUAUGUAUGUUAAUUCAGGACGAUAUGUAAACAGUUGUGAUUUAUCUGUAUCCAUCGCAAAUAUAAUUAUUUUGGAUAAGCCUUGAAGAAUCACCAUUUCGCGCCUCAAAUGAAGCGAAAUAUCAAAACGAGAGGGAAUCCGGGUGAACACAAUUGGCUUCCUCGUACUUUAUACGAUAAUACGCGACCUACUCGGUUUCUGACGUAACGACCUCGAGCUUUAGAAGAUCUUCAGCUUCUAGCGAUUCUACGUGCAGAUGCGACCUACCUUAUAGCAAACGGUGACAAUCGCUGCGAAGACUUCCAUUUUUCAAAGCGAGAGAGCAGCAAGACAUAUCUUCCGCAUCGUGGGGAACUAGCACGUCGGCACUUUCUACAUCGAUCGCUCUAAAUAACUCGCCCGGUAAAUUUAUUAUACUCGGCACCCUUUCAAAAAGAACUCCGCAAAACUUGUUCCAAGGUAGAAUCUCUUUUCUAGAAAGCCGUGUCCUCGUCGCAGAAAAAUUGUGUACGUACCUAUAUCGAGAAGUAACUUAUGGUUAACGCGGGUAAAGUGCAAUAUGCGUUACAUCCCAGAUAAGUACGUUAUGCACCGAUGGCAAUAUUUUACACUUCUCAUGCGCCACAUUUCGUUGGCGAUUUAAUUUAAUAGUAAUGCUCUUGAAGCUUAAAUGAACACGAUGUUAAACGGGAGCUAGUGCAAAUAUUCCUAACAUUCAUAUUAUGUUGAUGAUUUUUAGGAUUUAAUUUGCAUUCUAACUUUAUGAAUUUAAUACGCAAAUAUCGCCAAGUAAAGUUGUACGCUCGCAAAGUAAUUUCAGUUCCAGUUCCAAAUUCCAUUACAUCAAAUCUGAAUAAUUAUAUGUGUGCAAAUACCGCGUCACCAUGGCACCAUGGCACAGUG